RNAcentral lists this ribosomal RNA (581 nucleotides) under uncultured Prevotella sp. RNAcentral's name for it is "bacterial SSU rRNA". It matches the Rfam family "Bacterial small subunit ribosomal RNA", at positions 70 to 652 of the family's 1533-position model. The record is from RNAcentral. Lineage: Bacteria; Pseudomonadati; Bacteroidota; Bacteroidia; Bacteroidales; Prevotellaceae.
UAAGUUUGUUAUGUUGGAUGUCGACCGGCGCACGGGUGAGUAACGCGUAUCCAACCUUCCCAUUUCUUGGGGAUAGCCCGUCGAAAGUAGGAUUAAUACCGUAUGAGGUCACUUGAAGGCAUCUAAAUGGGACGAAAGGUUUAUCGGUCAGGGAUGGGGAUGCGUCUGAUUAGCUUGUUGGCGGGGUAACGGCCCACCAAGGCGACGAUCGGUAGGGGUUCUGAGAGGAAGGUCCCCCACAUUGGAACUGAGACACGGUCCAAACUCCUACGGGAGGCAGCAGUGAGGAAUAUUGGUCAAUGGGCGAGAGCCUGAACCAGCCAAGUAGCGUGCAGGAUGACGGCCCUAUGGGUUGUAAACUGCUUUUAUAAGGGAAUAAAGUGAGUCUCGUGUGCCUUUUUGCAGGUACCUCAUGAAUAAGGACCGGCUAAUUCCGUGCCAGCAGCCGCGGUAAUACGGAAGGUCCGGGCGUUAUCCGGAUUUAUUGGGUUUAAAGGGAGCGUAGGCCGGAGAUUAAGCGUGUUGUGAAAUGUCGCGGCUCAACCGGGCACUGCAGCGCGAACUGGUUCCUUGAGUGCGCG